Molecule: small nuclear RNA, 107 nt
Organism: Prolemur simus (greater bamboo lemur)
Lineage: Eukaryota; Metazoa; Chordata; Mammalia; Primates; Lemuridae
Source: Ensembl
GUGCUCACCUUGGCAGCACAUAUACUAAAACUGGAAUGAUACAAAGAAGAUUAGUAUGGCCCCUGGGCAAAGAUGACACAAAUAUUUUUAAAUUGUAAAAAAAAAAU